Molecule: ribosomal RNA, 241 nt
Filed under: uncultured Staphylococcus sp.
Lineage: Bacteria; Bacillati; Bacillota; Bacilli; Caryophanales; Staphylococcaceae
Description: partial 16S ribosomal RNA
Rfam family: Bacterial small subunit ribosomal RNA
Source: RNAcentral
CGGACGGGUGAGUAACACGUGGAUAACCUACCUAUAAGACUGGGAUAACUUCGGGAAACCGGAGCUAAUACCGGAUAACGUGUUGAACCGCAUGGUUCAACAGUGAAAGACGGUCUUGCUGUCACUUAUAGAUGGAUCCGCGCCGCAUUAGCUAGUUGGUAAGGUAACGGCUUACCAAGGCAACGAUGCAUAGCCGACCUGAGAGGGUGAUCGGCCACACUGGAACUGAGACACGGUCCAG